Myotis davidii is the source of this 75-nucleotide non-coding RNA. Lineage: Eukaryota; Metazoa; Chordata; Mammalia; Chiroptera; Vespertilionidae. The record is from Rfam.
GGCGGUUCUCAGGUGAUGCACCCUGGAAUUGUCCUCCCUUCUCUCUGGUUCCGGGUACAUCACCUGAGAACCACA